This 77-nucleotide ribosomal RNA is filed under the name Bacillus sp. TH008. Its description in RNAcentral is "partial 16S ribosomal RNA". It matches the Rfam family "Bacterial small subunit ribosomal RNA", at positions 1 to 75 of the family's 1533-position model. The record is from RNAcentral. Lineage: Bacteria; Bacillati; Bacillota; Bacilli; Caryophanales; Bacillaceae.
AUUUUAUGGAGAGUUUGAUCCUGGCUCAGGACGAACGCUGGCGGCGUGCCUAAUACAUGCAAGUCGAGCGGACCGAC